CCCGUAGCCCAACCGGAUAGAGCAAUUGCCUUCCAAGCAAUGGGGCGGGUGUUCGAGUCCCUCCGGGGCCA
This 71-nucleotide transfer RNA is filed under the name Delftia sp. UME58. RNAcentral's name for it is "tRNA-Gly". It matches the Rfam family "tRNA". From Rfam's summary of the family: Transfer RNA (tRNA) molecules are approximately 80 nucleotides in length. Their secondary structure includes four short double-helical elements and three loops (D, anti-codon, and T loops). Further hydrogen bonds mediate the characteristic L-shaped molecular structure. tRNAs have two regions of fundamental functional importance: the anti-codon, which is responsible for specific mRNA codon recognition, and the 3' end, to which the tRNAs corresponding amino acid is attached (by aminoacyl-tRNA synthetases). tRNAs cope with the degeneracy of the genetic code in two manners: having more than one tRNA (with a specific anti-codon) for a particular amino acid; and 'wobble' base-pairing, i.e. permitting non-standard base-pairing at the 3rd anti-codon position. Lineage: Bacteria; Pseudomonadati; Pseudomonadota; Betaproteobacteria; Burkholderiales; Comamonadaceae. The record is from RNAcentral.